This 164-nucleotide unclassified non-coding RNA is filed under the name Thermobispora bispora. Its description in RNAcentral is "16S-23S ribosomal RNA intergenic spacer". Lineage: Bacteria; Bacillati; Actinomycetota; Actinomycetes; Streptosporangiales; Streptosporangiaceae. The record is from RNAcentral.
AAGGAUGAAAUUCGUUCCGCCAUGCGAAAGCGUGGCGAAAUCACUCUCGAAUGCGAGGUCCGGGGAUCUUCCCCGGGCGCGGGCACGCUGUUGGGUUCUGAGGGUGCGGGCGUGCACCCGGAUGAAGCUUGAGAACUGCAUAGUGGGUGCGAGCAUCGUGUAGU